UCACUUGUUCUUUAAAUGAGGACUUGUAUCAACGGCAUCACGAGGGUUCCACUGUCUCCUUUUUCUAAUCAGUGAAACUAAUCCCCCCGUGAAGAAGCGGGGAUAAACCUAUAAGACGAGAAGACCCCAUGGAGCUUUAAACUUAGCUGUACCCCCCCCCCAMAMACCCUCUCACCAACUGGGGGCCCUACAUG
RNAcentral lists this ribosomal RNA (194 nucleotides) under Gephyromantis schilfi. RNAcentral's name for it is "partial 16S ribosomal RNA". The record is from RNAcentral. Lineage: Eukaryota; Metazoa; Chordata; Amphibia; Anura; Mantellidae.